UACAAUAAUUUAAGCCACAUUGUA
This 24-nucleotide non-coding RNA is filed under the name Arabidopsis thaliana (thale cress). Lineage: Eukaryota; Viridiplantae; Streptophyta; Magnoliopsida; Brassicales; Brassicaceae. The record is from RNAcentral.